UUUUUUUCUCCUCUUCUUCAUCAUCGCUCGAAUCAUGGCGAUGCUUGCUCUUGUUGUCCUUGAUCCUUUUAUCCGGCUUGGGGCAAUUUGGACGGAUGUGACCUUUUUUGCCACAAUUGUAGCAAAUCUUGUUCUUGACAUCCAUUGGCCGAAACAUUCCCUUUUUGGAGUCAAAGUUGAAACCCUUCUUAUUAAUCUUUUCAUUUAAGCGUGUGAACUUCCUCAUCAUGAGAGCAAGUUCUCCAUCGUCUUCAACAUCGGAUGAGCUUUCAUGAUGAUCAUCUUCUUCAUUGCUUGAGCUUGAAUCUUGCUUGAUCAUCUUGAGUUUGCGGGAUUUGUUUGUCUUGGUCUUUAGAGCAAUUGAUUUGCUUGAAGUUGGCUCUUCGGACAUACCAAGAAUGCUCAUUUCAUGAGCGCGAAUUUCCCCCACAAGUUCUCCUACUUCCAUUGUGUCAAGAUCCUCCUUUUGAAGCAUAGCAUUAAUGAUGUUAUACUUGGGCUUCGGGAGGAGCAUGAGAAUCUUGCGAUUGAUGGAUGCACUGUCAAUUUUGGAUAUUUCAAGUGCAUUAAUGUCCUUGACAAUGACAUUCAAGCGAGAAUACAUAUCAUUGCAAUUUUCAUGAGCUAGCAUUUUAAAGGAAUCAUACUUAGCUCUAAACAAGUGAUAUUUUUGCUCACGAACUUUAGUGGAACCUUCAUGAAUUUCAAUGAGCUCCUUCCAAAUAUCACUUGCUAAGUCCAUGCCAUUAACUCUAGCAAAGACUUCCUCACUAAUAGCUUCGAAAAUUGCAUUUCUAGCUUUAGCAUUCCAUUUUAAUUGUUCGGUGGUGGGAGUUCCGGUGAACCCGACUUUAGUUGCCGACCACACUUCGGGGGCAAUCGCAUCAAGGUAUGCGGCCAUGCGAACUUUCCAAUAAGCAAAAUUCUUGCCCUCGAAGUGAGGCGGCGAACCACCCAUCUUGGUCAUAGCUCUAGGCAGUGAAGCCUAAUGAUCCAAAUGAGCAACGAGGCUCUGAUACCAAUUGAAAAGAUCGAUGGACCAAGAGGGGGGGUGAAUUGGGCCUUUUUUUAAUUUCUAAAACAAGGUAAAGCAACCUUAACCUAUGCAAAGCUAGAAAGGCACCAAUUCACCAACCGGGUAACUAAACUACCUACGCAAGCUAGGAAAGAUAAAAGAGGUAAAGCCUAGCAAGGUAGAGGAAAGUAGUGAUCCCUAAAUCAAGCACAUGAAUAAAUUGCAUGAAAGAUAAUGCUUGAGUAAGUAAAGGGGGCAAGAGACAACCGGAUUUUUCCCGUGGUAUCGAUGUGUUGGCACACACCCCUAAUCCACGUUGUGACACUCACAAAGAGUAUUGUCACAUCCCAAGUCACCAAGACGAGGGCGCUCACUAAGAGUCUCCGUUCACCAUCCCGGUGUGGUGGAGAUCAAGCCAUGUACAAUCUUCUUCUCCGGGCUUUCAUAAUCCUUGGCAAGCUCCGUGAGAAUCACCUCGAUCACCAAGAUCGCCUAGGUGAUGCCAAUCACCAAGAGUAACAAGCUAAGGCUUUCACUUGAGCAAGAACCGAUCACCAAGAACGGAUGCACACAAGCUUCUCUCUACUCAAGUCCUUAAUCUUGCUUCUUGAAUGAUUGAAUGAACAAUUAUGUGAAAUGAUGAAGCUCAAGGUGGCUCUUGACUAUAGUAUGAGUGUUUGGAUGUUGCCUAGUGUCAAGAGUAGUAAAAUGACCCAUUGGAGGGGUAUAUAUAGGCAGCUCACACGAAUAGAGCCGUUGGAGAAAAAGCUGCCAGAAAACUGCGUAGCGCCGGUUAAUUCGACGUACCUCCAAUAGUCAUCGUCGGUUUAACCGGUGAAUGUAAACUACCCCUUCUGAAAACUAACCGUUACAGAUUGGGCAGAUUAACCGACGUAUCAUCGGUUUAACCGGUGAGUGUAGUCAUCCACUGAUCAACUGAAAAACCAAGUCUCUGGACAACUGCACCGACGUCCAAUUUCAAAUAUCGUCGGUUUAACCGGUGUGUUGACUUGUCCAGACUCUGCUGACCUCGUUUAACCGACGUAUAGAAAAGUUGAGGCGUCGGUUAAAUCGGUGUUAAGGAUUUUUCCUGAUUUUGCCUUUUCUGAUUUGAGUCUUGAAUGAAAUCCAAUUAUUCUUGAGAUAUAAGUUGAGAACCACUUAUUUGAGCUUCUAGAAACCUGAGUGACCAUUGUGUGCAUCCAUUUUCAAAUGACCAUGUCCAUGCUCAAGUUACUUAGCCUAAACCCCUCUUAAUAGUGCGAUCACUACAAAACUAUUAAACCUAUACUAACCUAAGUGUCCUUCUCAACCUUAUGACACUUAGGACUAGAAAGAUCCUUAGUCUUGACGUAUUAUUGAGUUGAAUGCCGAGAUCGCCUUUUUGAAUAAUGAAAAUUAGGGGCCCCUUUUGACAUAUAACCAAAUGAGCGAUAAUGAUCUAUAAAGCUGCACAAACUCAUUAGUCACAAUAAUGGUUGUCAUUAAUCACCGAAACAUACCUUGAGGGCCUAGAUACUUACAACAACAUUACAUAAAAAUAGCACACAAAACCAUGGUAGAACUGUUCUACGCGUUACAACGAUCACGUGAGCGCGAAAACCACCUAAAACGGAGCUAAGACGCGAAAACUAGAGCUUAAACAAGGUUCAGGGGCUUUUCUGUAAGAAAACAGGAAGUCCUAAGGGGUUCUGCGCAAAAACUGAGGACUAAAAUGGAAUUAACCCAUAAACUUCGAGUUUAGACUGCAAGACCACGCGCCUAGGGGCAGCGGACCCUAUUUCUGGAAAGUUCAAGGGCUUCGGUGCAAAAAUAGGGGCUUACUGGAAUUAUCUUUGAACGGAGGUGGACUGCGGGUUGAUUCCAAGGAAGCUCAGGGGUUCUUUAACAAAACUGCCACGGCUGAAGGGGUAUCUCCCAAUCUGGGCCGUCGGAUCUGGAUCAGACGGUUCGGACCCAAUCUAGUUCGGACAGUCCGAUCUGCACGGCGGGGGUCCGGACAGGUCCGAUCUGGAUCGGACCGGUCCGAUCUGACAGAACGCGGCCGGCGGCGGGGGGGGGGUGGGUGGGUGGGGGGGGGUCGCCGGAGAUCGGUUUCCACGGCGGCGCGCCACCGGAGCUGGGUGAAAUCAAUGCUCCGGGGGUCAAAUCGAACGGGGCUUGGGUCUAUCGCGAUCAGCGUGACACGCGCGAUCCACCUGAGGCACUUGUGGGCCUCGGGGUUGUUCGGGAUUGCGCGCGCGGCGGCGGAAGCGGGUUUGCGCGGUGGAGCUCGCCGUCGUGCGGCGUUCUGGCUACGGAAACGGGCUAAGGUCCACGACAUCUAGCGCAAAAGGACCGGGGGAACGUGCUGUUGCUCACCGAGGGCUCGAACUGGCCGGUGAAAACAGCGCAGGGUGGUCGGCGGCGAGGGCCGAGCGGCGAGGACGGGCGGCGCUCGCAGAGGAAGACGAUGCAGGGGCCUCCGUGCUUCUGGUCACCGUGGAUCGACUCGGGGUGGUGCUGUGAAGGUAACACGGGAGUUAGGGAGUACGGAAACACGCCGGCGGUGAUCAAUUUUGGUAGCGGCCGAGCUCACCGGCAAUGGCGGUCGUGGCAAAAUUCGACGGCGAGAGCGAGCUGGGCGUGUCUAGGGUUGCGGUCGCGGUUUCGGGAAGUCACAGGAGAGGCGGCCUGGUAGCUUAAGAGGUGGCGGGGAUGCCCUAGGCGUGCGUGCCGCGGACUCUGCGGUGAAAGUGGAUCGCGCAACGGAUUUGUGCAAUCCCGUCUUUGGAGGCUCGGCUUCUAGAAGGUGAGGGCGCCAGCGAGGCUGGUCAGUGGGCCUCGAGCGUGCGCACUGGGGGCGGAGCGGGGCCACGGGCAGCGAGGGAGCGGCCGGGACGGUGGAGGAGAAACAGGGGAGGUCGGGCACGAGGAAGAAGAAGGAAAAGAAAGAGAUGGUCACCGACAGGUGGGGUCGAGCUGGGGGAAUGACUGAGAAAGAAAGAAUGACAGAGAAAAGAACGGGAAUGACUGAGAAAAGAACGGGAAUGACUGAGAAAAGAACGGAAAUGACUGAGAAAAGAAGGAAUGACUGACCUACCUUCCUGUUUCCUUCCUUUACUUUUCCCGCACCAACUCAAAUCUAUUUGAAUUCAACUCAAUUUGAAUUCAACCCCUAUGCACUCAACCAAAUAAAACUUAUGCACCAGCAUGAAUGCACAAACAUGUUGAAUCUAAAAUAAAUUUUAAUUACUUGUGAAUUAAAUUAUAAAUAAUUGCAAGCUAGGUAAAAUAAAUCCUUAGAAAAUUUUUUUGGAGCCCAAUUAAAUUCAUUAUAAAUCUCGAAAUUUUUCCUUAGGGUGUUACACUACUCUUGGUUUCCCUCCCGAUGAUGCCCACCCCGCCAUCGUCCACCAACCAACUCCCGGCUUCUGCCACCCCAGGUGCGGUGGCCAGGUGCAGCGACGGCCCUGCUUCCCUACCGUCGGGCUUCACUCCAAGACCGACGCCCUCUGCCUUCUCAUUGUCGGCGGCGGCCCGCCCUUUCUUCCCCGGCGCGACCUCGGCGGGGCGCUCCAAGGUAGCUCGCUGGUCUGACGGCAGCGAUGAGGAGCUAGACCACGUCGACUACGACUUCACCCCUUCGCCCUCCCCGCAGCCAGCGAGCUACAAUGAAGUCGUCUGUCAUCCCCCGAGCCCGGCGCCGACCCAGGUACCGCCCCAGCUGCAUACCCCUGUUGUGUCGGUCGCGAUGCAGGUUGUUGAGGUGCAUGAGCCCUCUCGUUGUCGCCGCCGCCGCCCCUUGCCCCGAGCGCAUCGCCGACAGCUGCCUCCACUUCGGGCCUCUGCGCCUGGCGGCGAUGCUAUGGCGUCUCAGGCUACCGGGCGCGUCACGGCUGCUGGGCGUGUCGUGUCUGCUCCUGUGGAAUGUCACCGCCCGAGGAUCGAUGUUGAUGGUUUCUAGGAGGUGCUCCCACGCUCCACCAGGCAGCGCCUCCGCCGAGAUGGGGCUAGCAGCCCGCCUCAGCGUCUCCCACUAGAGUUAGCGGACCGAUGCUUGAACUGUUUGUCGUUCAACCAUCGGGUCACCACAUGCAGGCUUCCCUGGAGAUGCCUUUAUUGUCAUGGCUUCCGCCACCUCGCUCGCGAGCCGCAGGCCAAGAGCCCUGCCCCCCCCCCCCGGUCCGUGAGGCUGCUGGCGAAGCUUGGCGCGCACCAACCAGGCGCUUCGAACGGUUGAGGAACAACAGUCCUCCCACGCCUGUGUCACACCCAAUUUAUGAGAAUAUAAACCGAGCAAUCAUAUAUGCGCCAGGAUCAAGUCACGCAUAUAUACAUCAGAACUAUCAGGAUAUCACAACAUAUAUCAUGAAAUAAAAGCGUAUAAAUUGUAAAUGAAUUCUUUAUUACAACUGAAUCAAGAAUCAGUUCAAGGAGUGCGGAAGCGUAAAAUAAAUACAUGAAGAGCAGGGCGCCACAGGGACGUCGGCUGGGAGACAAACGCCUAGAAAUCGUCAAGUUCGCUGAUGUAGUCCUCCACGUCGACUGGUACUGAGCAGCAGUCGAAGAUAUCCCAAAGAGAACAGAAGAGUAGAGAAGGCAAGUGUGAGUACACAACUUGUACUCAACAAGUAUAACACGAAUUAUGAGGCUCUACGGUUAGCUGACUCAACUGCAUUAGCUUUUAAUCUUGGCAAUUUUUAUUAAAGCUAUUUACUACAAGCGGAUGAAUUACCAUAACCCAAGUUACUAAAGCAAUUAACUAAAAUUACUCAUAAGUCUACUGAAAUUCAAACCAAACCACCAAAGAUAAAUCCCGUUAAUCAGACGGAGGAUCUGGGCCGCUCAUAACCGUGAGCACAGCUAGUAUACCAGUUUUACACUCUCGAGAGGUUGCACAACUUUACCCACAAGUCAUGAGCUACGCUAGUUGUUCGUCACACUUCCUUAGGUGAGAUGACUAGCAAGCGCACUACGAGAUCGUUACAAAGGAUCACGUUAGUAAGGUGUAACCGCUAAGGUUUCUGGAUCGGCGACGAUGGGGCCCACCUUAGGGGGGUACAAGCACACAGCACAGACCAAGCCGGAAGAGCAGGGACCAUUGAAGCUUACCACCACUCUUGCCCCACAGGUAAGUUACUCCCAAACCAAAAUACCCUAAUUAGUAAGUCAAAACCGUCCCAUUCCAGUCUUAUGGUUGCGCGGUUGUCCCAGAUUGUCGCUCUAUGAACCGGUCCUUAUGGAGCAUGGCCAACCAAGCACUAAGCACCGUGCUGGUCCCCUAAACCAUGUUUCUACAAAAAAACAUAUUUUAACGAGACGUGAGCCGCUCAAGCACACAGCACAGAGGACCACUCUCAAGAUCAAGUUGCAUAUACCAUUAAUAAAAUUUAAUUAAAAUGACCGUAAUGUGCGAGAGCGCAACACCUAGCACAACUAACCAAAAUGCAACCCAAGGUAUUUAUAUUAAAGGAUAAAAGUGGCUAGGAAAUUCUUAUAGGCAUACAGUAUUAAAAUGCAGUAUGAGAUUGUAUUUAAAAGUGAUAGGAUAUUCAUGUUAUACUUGCCUUCCUCAAACUCUCCUGACUACUGCUCAAACGCGUUUGAAGAAGGUGGCUCCUGGUACUCCUCCGAUGGCUCAACGUCUACUCGCGAUCACAACGCCAAAACAUGGUCCACACAUGCACAUACAUGCAAACAAUGGCAAAAGAUAAGAAACAGUACAACAAUACAAUAAAACAACACACAAAACUGAGCUAAAACUAUUCUACGUGUUACAAUGAUCGCGUGAGCGUGAAAACCACCUAAAAUGGAGCUAAGACGCGAAAACUAGGGCUAAAACAAGGUCUAGGGGCUUAACUGCGAGAAAACUGAAGGUUCCAGGGGGUUCUGCGCGAAAACUAGGGACUUAUACACAAUUAAACUACAGACGUAGGGUCUAAUGUGCAACAACUACAGGGCUGGACGGCGGACCCAAAAUCUAGAAAGCUCAGGGGCUUCGGUGCAAAAAUAGGGGCUCAACUGGAAUUACUUUUGAACUAACGUGGACUGCGGGUUGAUUUCAAGGAAACUCAGGGGCUCUUUAGCAAAACCGCACGGCUGAAGCGGUAUCUUCUAAUCUGGACCACCAGAUCUGGAUCUAACGAUCCGGAACCAAUCUGGGAUGGAUCUAAUCUGGCGCGUCGGCUUCGGAUCGGGUGGCUAGGACCGACUGGGCGCGCGGGGACGGCGGGGCGGUCGCCGGAAUCCAGUUUCCGUGGCGGCGCGCGGCUCGGGCUCGCUGGAUUUCGCCAAUUCCGGCGCUCUGGUGGCCAAAUCGACCAGGGUUUGGGCCAGGGAGGUUCACCACACCAUGCGUGAUCGACCUAGUGCAUUGGUGGGCCUCGGGGUGCUCUGGGCAUGCGCGUGCAGCGGCGGAGGCGGGUCUGCACGGCAGCGCACGCCGGCAUGCGGCGUUACAGCCUCAGGAACGGGCCAAAGUCUACGACAUCUAGCACAAAAGGACCAGGGGGACGUGCUGAAGCUCACCGAGGGCUUGGUCCGGGCUGGAUGGCCGUGCAGGGGUGUCGGCGACGUUGACCGGUGGCGGAGACGGGGCGGCGCUCGCGGGGAGGGCUGCUGCAGGGGCUCUCCGGCCCCUGGGCUCCACGGAUCGGCACGGAGUGGUGAUGUGAAGGUACUACGGGGGUUAAGGAGGACGGAAACAUGCCGGCGGCGAGGAAUCAAGGUGGCUGAGCAAACUCACCGGCGGCAGUCCUCGGUGAAAUCCCAGCGCUACACGGGUCGGGGUCGCGGGUGAAGAGCUUUGGAAGCUUCCUGGCGGUGGGGCAAAACUGAUGCGGGGGUUGGCCGGGGCUGGGGUGCGGCGGAGCAGCGAGUCCACGGUGGGGCAGGGAGCUCUGCGCGGCGGGGUGAGUGAGCGGUGGCGCUAGGGUUCGGGUGGUGGCUGUAGGUUUUAGGGUUAGGGUCCCAGGGAGUUGGAGAUCCUAUUUGUAGGGCGGCGGGGCGUCCUCGGCGUGCGGGCCCGGCGCGAGGGCUCGCCGGAGAUCUCGGGGACUUGGGCGCGUCGGGGAAGAAGGAAAGGAGGAGGAAGACAGGCGCCGACAGGUGGGGUCAAGCGGUCAGAGAGAGAGAGAGGUGCGUGCUGGGCUGGGGUGGGGGUGCGGGAAACAGGGCCAAGCGGGAAAAGAAAGAGAGAAAGAGAGAAUGGGCCUGCGCGAGGAAAGGAACGGCCCAAGGGGGAAGAGAGGAGCAGGCUGGGCUGGAGUGCAGCUAGGGUUGCUUUCCUAUUUCCUUCCCUUUUUCUUUUCCAAACCAACUCGAAUCUAUUUGAAUUCAAAUCAAAUUUGAAUUCAAACUCCUAUGCACUCACUCCAAUAAAACUUAUGCACCGGCAUGAAUGCACAAACAUGUUGAACUAAAAUAAAUUUUAAUUCUUUGUGGAAUUUAAUUAAAUUAAAUGCAAGCUAGGCAAGAUAAAUCCUUAGAAAAUUACUGGAGCCAAUUUAAAUUCAUUAUAAAUCUCGGAAUUUUACUUUAGGGUGUUACAGGCUGCCGCCUCUGAGGCACCCAGCCGCACUCUGCCACCUCCGGGUGAAGAUGCAACCGCCCCCAACCAAGCAACAUCGACGGGUCCGUCUCAUGAUACCUCGCGAGCGGAACCGGAAUGCUGCUACGUGGAGCGCAGUGAGGCGAUGGUAGCGGAGGAUGCAAGGCUCCGGCUUGCACUCAUUAGCCAGCUGGGCAAUGCAGCGUACACCACCACUGCUGCGGACGUCCUGCGCACCAUUGCGGCAGCGCUUGACAGAAGCUGGCGACACUGCCACGGACGCAGCAGGACGGGCGGCGUUGUUGCCGGAACCUCGUCAGUGGCUUGCGGCCAUGGAGGUCGAUGUCAAGUAGAGCCCACCUCAGGGGCAGAGGUGUCCGCGAUCCCGAAAGGGAACCCUGUGUGCACCUGCCCCGUCCGGGCAUGGCAAAAGACCUUUCCUAAAGAGGCCACGAUCGGGCAGGUGGAGACAAGGGCAGACCACGAGACUGUGCAAACAACCGAGGCAACCAUCAGGUCAAGAGACGUUGCUACCUCCGGGGAGGUCGUGGGUGGCACCUGCGGGUCCACCGACCCGUCUCCGAUGUAGGCCAGAAGGAAAGCCGCUUUGCUGCUGGAAUCUCUGGCGGAUGAGGUCGGGGCAGUUGGCUUUCUGAUAUUGCAGCACAGAGAGGAGUGGGUCUCCAGGAUGGAGGACCCAAUGCUUCUGGAGGCCAGCUUGGAUUCAAGCAUGGUGCGUUUGACAGAAGCUAUUCCUGUGAUGGUCCCGCCAGUCGUGCCAAACGAUGCGAUGGUUGACCAGAUCUCUGCUAUGGCUUGUAUUGUCCCACUGGCUUCCCCCCCCCCCCCCUUGUUGGGCUGCAGAACCGGUCCUGCUCGUUGGGCCAACGGCGUCUGCACCUAAUGAGGCUUUGGGUGUGCUUGAUGGGCCGGUCUCGCCUAUGCCACCCGCUGUUGGGUCUAUGGCGCCUGCGUCCUUGGAGGAUGAGGGGGCACCGGUUGGGUAGCUUCUUCUGCCGAGCCUAACCCAACACUCAGUCCCUAAGCCUGCUACAACAGCAGACCCAACACCGUACUUGGGCCUGCCUAACGCUGGCCUUGUAACGGAGGUCGAGGACCCGGAGGAACAGCGCACACCUAUCGCGUCUGGCUGCAACACGCCGAGGAUGCUGCAAGCCAUGAACGUCAGCUCAAGGCUUUUGCGGAAGAGUUCAGGUGUCCCAUCCGCUCUCCUCUAUCACCAAAGCCUGCCAAAACCAAGCGGGUUGCCCCUGCUCAACGGGGACAACCCGUGCUGCCGAAGCGUAGUGAGUGCCUGGCCAACCACCCUCUAGCUAAUGGUGCUUCCUCUAAGUGUGCAGAAGUAGUGCUGAUGCGUCACUUCAAGGCCAUCCCGGAGACGGCUGCGGCAAACUCAGACUCCAAGAAUGCCUACUCCAAGCUUCUUCGAGGCUGUUAGGGAUCUCCUGCCAGUGUUGUGCAAUAGCUCGCCGGCUGAGGGCAUCAUGGCCUGAGAGUUGAGCCCGGCUCACCAAUGAUCAACGGUUGUUUUUGUUGGUGUAAAUAGAACAAAUGUAAAGGGCUUUCUUGCAUAUUGGUGAAAUAUAAUGAGAGUGUGGGUGCUCUGUAGAGCAACACACCAUAAAACUUCCCCAAAUCCAACAUGGUAUACAGAGCUAGGGUUAGGGUAUCGAGCUCCGGCGAGGACACCGCGCGUGGGCCCGCGGGCUCGUGAGCGGCGCAUGCCUGCGGACCACACGCGUGGGCCCAGGCGUGGCCGUGCGAGGGAACGCGUGAGGUGGCCAGCUGCGGGCGACUGCUGGCUGGCUGGCUGCUCUGCUCCGCUUCUCGGCUGGCUGGCAACUCUACUUCACGAGUUGUGAGGACUUUGGAUGAGAAGGUGAAGCGCAAGGUGGAGGCCGCUGAGCAGGGAGGAGAUAGACCGCAUGGUGUAGGAAGCUGCUACGUAGGAGAAUUAAGAAAGGUGAAGCUGUGCUACUCUGUGGCAUGUUCGGGUACCUGCUGGUAACUGAUUUCGGGGAAGGAAGCCUGAUUUGUGUGUGGUGAAGAUGAGUCCAGAAGAGUUGGAAGCAAAAAGGAAGAAAGAAGAGGCUGCAAUUAAUGCAGACAUGGGUAGUGGUGGUCAAGGUGGAACCCGAGGAGGUCGUGGAAGUACUCGUGGGAGCUUCGGAGGAGGCUGCGGUAGCCGUGAUGGAGGCUGAGGUAGAGGUCGUGGUGGCCCUAGGGCCAAUGUGGCGGCCACUGAGGAGACUCUAUCUAUCACUUUAACGGGAGAGCAAAUCAAACAAUGGGAGCAAUGGCAGAAAGGCAAAGCUCCUGAGAGUUUCACCAAUGUCUCACUUGAUCCUGUGACUUCGACCUUCAAAAACUUCGAUAACUUUGCCAACUACGCCCACAUGAGCGAAGGUACUUAGGCACAAGCACUUGCAUCUUUAUGUAGGCAUCACAUAGAUUGGGUCAUAGAUUCAAGAGCAUCGAAGCAUGUUAUGGGCUAUAGAUGGCAACGGGUAAAAUCCGUGCGGAUACUAACUUUGUAAACUCGUACCCGCAUACUAAAAUCCGUGCCCACACCCGCGCCCGCAACCCGCCACGGGCACGAAACGACGCCCGUAACCGCUAUCCGCGGAUAUCCGCAUGUAGCUUUAGAAAAUCAAGCACACAUUACAUUUCAACAGCAAAUAAACACCAUUUAUUUAAGGAAACAAAUAAAUGUGAGCAUAUAAAUAAACUAGUUACAUACAUGAAUACAUGAUACAUCACACAUUAACAUAAACCCUAAAUGAAGUCGGUUUAGGACCCACAUGUCAGCCGCUAAAUCGGGUUUGGUGGAUUUGCGGAUGCGGAUAUUAUUUUUUCAAACCCGUUAGCAAAUAUCCGUCGGGUUUAAGGUUGUACCCGCGCCCGCGCCCGCGGGCAUAAAUGCAAACCCAUAUCCGCGCCCUUCGGGUUUGCUAUCCGCGGGCACGCGGAUAUUUUGUAUCCGUUGCCAUCUCUAUUAUGGGCAUAUCUAAUUCUUUCAAAACAUACAGUCCAUAUUCUCAUUCUGAGUUCACUCAAAUUGCUGAUGGCACAUCCCAACUUAUCCAUAGUGUAAGGUCUGUAGAGUGCACACCUUCUCUUAGCCUAUCGUCAGUCCUGCAUGUCCCAUCUUUUCCUAUCAAUCUUCUCUAUGUUAGUUCAAUCAUUGAUCGAUUCAAGUGCAUAGUAAUAUUUGAUGAAACAUCUUGUACUUUUUAGGAGAGGGGGACUGGGAGAAGGAUUGGGACUGGAGUCAGGCGUAACAGGUUGUGGUUCAUCAAUUAUGAGGAGUCAGCAUUGGCAGCAGCUGCAAAAGGAGAUGUAAUGGCAAUUCUGCUAAGCACGAUACAAAGUGGAAAGAUGCAAUGAAAGAAAGCUACUUGCCCUUCAACAGAACAAGACAUGGGAACUUGUUCAUCUUCCAGAAGGAAAGAAAGCGGUGGGUUGCAGUGGGUCUUCACAGUAAAAUAGACCCCUGAAGGAAAGGGGGAUAGGUAUAAAGCAAGAUUGGUUGCGAAGGGAUAUAGUCAGACAAAUUGACUAUGAUGAAACCUUUGCACCUAUGGCAAAAAUGGGCACAGUGAGGACUUUGGUCUCAUGUGCAGCCAACUUCAAUUGGCCACUCCAUCAGUUAGAUGUGAAAAAAUGCAUUUCUUCAUGGUGAUCUGCAAGAAGAAGUUUAUAUGGUAAUUCUACCUGGAUUUGGAAAUGAACAGACUUUGGGUAAAGUAUGCAAACUGAAGAAAUCAGUGUAUGGUCUACAGCAGUCACCACGUGCAUGGUUUGAUAGAUUCAGGCAAGCAGUAUGUGAUAUGGGAUAUUCUCAGUGUAAUGGAGAUCAUACAGUCUUCUAUAAACAUCGGGGCUCUUGCAUUACUAUCUUGGAUGUCUAUGUUGAUGAUAUAGUGAUCACUGGAGAUGAUGAGAAGGAGAUCAAGAGCCUAAAGGGGAGGUUAGGUAAGGCCUUUAAGGUAAAGGAUCUUGGACCAGUUCGAUACUUUCUUGGGAUUGAGAUUGCUAGAUCAUCAAAAGGGAUUAUUCUCUCCCAAAGAAACUAUGUUCUUGAUCUGUUGGCGGAGACGGGAAUGCUUGGGUGUCGUCCAUGUGGCUCACCCAUUGAUAAGAAUCACCAAAUGUGUGCUGAGUUGGGUGAUCCUGUGGAUUGGGGAAGAUAUCAGAGGUUGGUUGGUCGUUUGAUAUAUCUUUGCCAUACAAGAUCUGACAUUUCUUAUGCAGCGAGUGUGGUGAACAGGUGUAUGCAUGAUCCUAGAACUGGGCAUAUGGAGGCGGUUUAUCAAAUCCUGAGAUAUCUGAAGGGAACCCCUGGUAAGGGGUUGUGGUUUAGGGCAAACCAACACCUGAAUCUGGAAGGUUAUUGUGAUGCUGAUUGAAGCAGCAGGGAUGAUAGGAGAUCCACAUCUGGAUAUUGUGUGUUUGUGGAUGGAAAUCUUGUUUCGUGGAGGAGCAAGAAGCAAACUGUAGUGUCUCGGUCUACUGCAGAAGCCGAACAUAGAGCAAUGGCAUUGGCUCUGUGUGAGAUGAUGUGGCUAAAGGAUCUUUUGAAGGAGCUUCGGGUGUUGAAGAAUGAGACUAUGUUGCUUCAUUGGGAUAAUGUAGCAGCGAUCAAUAUAGCAAAUAAUCCAGUUCAGUUUGAUCAUAUGAAGCAUGUCGAUCAAGCAUGUGGAGAUCGACAAGUUCUUUAUCAAGGAGAAGAUUGAUAGUGGGACUUUGAAGCUAAAGUAUGUCAAGUCUCAUGAUCAACUAGAUGAUAGUCUCACAAAAGGUCUAGGUCCUAAGGAUAAUGAGUUGGCAUGUAACAAGAUGGGUAAUGUUGAAUAUAUUUAGCCCAUCUUGAGGGGGAGUGUUGGUGUAAAUAGAACAAAUGUAAAAGGGCUUUCUUGCAUAUUAAAGAAAUUAAUAAGGAGAGUGUGGGUGCUCUGUAGAGCAACACCCCAGAAAACUUCCCCAAAUCCAACGGUUUUCAUUCCACGGAUCAGCUCAUACAAUCCUGGAAUAUUGUGGGUGGUUUAAAGCGCGAGUAGUUAGUUGUGGGUCGGCCCAAUGGGCAUGGUUUCUUUUUUAGUGCUCCAUGCGCACUUAUGUGUCGCGUGAUGCUUCCGGCUCUGCAGGUCGUAAACGAACUUUAAUUUGUUCUUCUUCUUAAUACAAUGAUGCGUAUCUCUCCUGCGUAUUCGAGAAAAAAACUCUAGCGACCGAUGUUGGCCAAACUCUAGCUAGAAAAGAUGCAAGGAAACGGGUGGUGAAUGAGAACAACCUCCUGUCGUUCACCGUGUGGACUUUGAGGCUGAGGAGAGCCAGGGGGCAAGGCAAGGGCAAGACAGCUGCCCGUGCCCGUGUCCUCUAUACUACGGUUGCUGCCAUGGCGGAAGAGGCGUGCGCCACGGAUGUUGCACAAUGGGUGGCUGGACAGGCAGCUCAAUCCUUCCGCAGCGGCCGAUGGAGAGUUGAGGAGGAGGAGGAGGGUCCCCCUGGCUUGCUCCUCGCCACGUCGUGGCCGAACCCCCUGCACCGCUCCUCUAGCUCAUCGGUAGAAGAAGGGGAUCUCAUGAUGCAGAUGGGAGAAGUCAGGGACAAUAUGGAUUGAAAUACCACCGUUUAACGUUGAAAUGGAUGGAGUGGUAUAUUUUGAUAACGGAGUAAUUUUCAUAGUAGAUAUCUUAACAUAGAUCUUUUAAUGGUAUAUUUCUAAAAUACUGAUCUUUCGGUGCUACCAAUCCAAUUUUCACUUCUUUCUACUGCCAGCCUACGAGGUGGUGUCCGUAUGGACUGUGGCAGAAAUUUAUUUUCAGCUUCUUGUUUGUCGAUUUUAUUGUCACGGUAAAUCAUCAUCGUCUCUUCAAUAUUUUUUCAAAGUGAAGGUUUGAAUUUAUAGCAGCAUGGUUGUUCCGAGAGCUUUUCCGGUGGCCAACUCAUGCUCUCUCAUGCAGUAGCUUGAUGAAUCAAUACAACUGCUGGAGAAAAUUAAAUUAACCGAUGAGAGAGAAGAAUCGAUGCAUCUAUGGAGUCUACUCAGAGCCUCUCCAGCAGCUCCCCAAUAAAUCUUUCCCAAUAAUCAUCUAAUAAAUUUUUCCCAAUAAUUAUCUAAUGGGGAUGUCCUAAUAAUUCUUUGAUGGUUAUUAGAAGAGUUGCUUUUGUAGUUCCUCAAGAACCCCAUCCCAAGUCAACUACCAUAUUGAAAGAGUUUCAACUCUCCCUCUAUCUGGGGAGGGUUGAGGUGGAUUAUUGGUUUGUCCCAAUAAUUAUUGGGAAAACAGAAAGAUAAAGGGGAUCCAGCAUAAAUUUUACACAAACUCUCCCGAUAUGGUAGUUGGACUGGGGAACGGAGGUCCAUUGGAGAUGCUCUCAGGCGCAAUAAGAUAAGCAGGACGACCUGCCAUGCGACUAUGCUGGUGAGAGGAAGUAGUAAGCAAAAGCCACAAGUAAUUAAUUUAACAACUUACGUGAUGUGAGUAACUUUUUGUUGUACAACGUGACUAAAAUUAGGCAUCAAUGGCAUGUAUGUCCAAAACCAGUUCACAAUUAAACCAAUUAGAAGGUGACCUAGAUGUUUAAUGAGGGACAUGAUGGACUUUUCACUUGCUGGUUCAAUUAUCCUAUAAUCCCUAGAAGUACCUACCUUGUUUGCUUAAGUAAUAAAGAACGAAUUGGCCUCUAUUAUUUUGAUAUACCGGCUGCUUAAUACAAUUAUUGGGAUGUCAUGUAUUUAAUCCUAACUUGCAGCAAAUUAUCCAAACUACAAAAAGUCUUAGCAAUCCAUUUAAUGGAAAUAGAAAAUGAUGUAGCAAAAAGAGAUCCCCUCAAUUCGUGCUUUCAAGCAGUAUCUACGGAACAUCUGAUGAUUUUCAAAAUAAAAGUUAAAACUUCUGAAUGUGGGGCUAGAUUAUGGUGGAGAGCUAAGCUUGGAAUGGGCUGCAGUAGUGCCACAGCCAUGAGAUUCUAAGUAGUGGCAUUUUUGUAUAUUUUAUGUUAUUUCGGUUGCUUGGGUAUCGGGACUAAAACCUAAACUUUGUGAUGAGACCUGAUGUUUAGACUUUGAGUAUCCUCCUCGGAACUAGUUCUACCAUAUUAUUGGUACUAACUUACACACCUUUUUAACCUUAUAUUCUCUUAAUAUUAGUACAUAACCUCAUAUUCUCUUAAUAAUAGUACAUAACCUCAUAACCUCAUCUUCCGCAGUAUAUGCUUGAUUUUACUUGCUAUAUAUGACUAGAUCUACAACCAGAAGAUCAAGGAUUAAGGUUCCCUAUUGACCUCAUGAAUAUGAGCCUCUUUAGCAGGGCUUCAGCUCCGACUCUCACAGCGACUCCUGCUGGAGCCCUAUCAAACGCCAAUGCGGCAAAUGGCUCCACCGGCGAAGCCUCUGAAAAUCCGCUCUCUGGAGCCAAUUUGUGGAGCGGGAUCCAAAAAAAGUGGCUCCUCGCGGCUCCUUCCAGUCAUUUGCCAUCCUCCUCAGGAGGGGCUGCGGGUGAGAGCGAGAGCCGUGAGGGCGAAGGUGCCGGCGGCGGGAGCAAGGCGAGGGGCGGAGGUGCAGAUGGCAAGAACGAGAAGUCAGGGACCUGCCACUCUCUCGGCGGCGCGGCGGCUGAUGGCGGGGACGAGUCGCGUGCCCUGGCCGUUCCAUCCCCGGCUGUUGGUGGCGCAGUCCCGGCACGAGCUCAACCGCAUGACCCGACAGCACACCCUCCCCUGUCAACAGCUAGCAGAUCUCUCCCGUGGCUAGGGGGCAGCAGCGCCCAGGCAGCGGUAGUGGCUGGGCAGCAGUAGCGCAAUGUGAGAGACGGAGGAAGCAAUGGCGUGACCGCAGGUUGGGAUCGACCGGGUGGAGAAAGGAUAACGGGUCAAGCAG
This 16452-nucleotide long non-coding RNA is filed under the name Panicum hallii. RNAcentral's name for it is "long non-coding RNA (PHAL_LNC000552)". Lineage: Eukaryota; Viridiplantae; Streptophyta; Magnoliopsida; Poales; Poaceae. The record is from RNAcentral.